AGAGUUUGAUCAUGGCUCAGGAUGAACGCUAGCGGCAGGCUUAAUACAUGCAAGUCGAGGGGCAGCAUGAGUGUAGCAAUACACUUGAUGGCGACCGGCAAACGGGUGCGGAACACGUACAGAACCUUCCUUCGAGCGGGGAAUAGCCCAGAGAAAUUUGGAUUAAUACCCCAUAGUAUAUUGAAGAGGCAUCUCUUUAAUAUUAAAGAUUUAUCACUUGAAGAUGGCUGUGCGGCUGAUUAGGUAGUUGGCGGGGUAACGGCCCACCAAGCCUACGAUCAGUAACUGGUGUGAGAGCACGACCAGUCACACGGGCACUGAGACACGGGCCCGACUCCUACGGGAGGCAGCAGUAAGGAAUAUUGGGCAAUGGAGGCAACUCUGACCCAGCCAUGCCGCGUGGAGGAUGAAGGCCCUCUGGGUUGUAAACUUCUUUUAUAUGGGACGAAAAAGGGCCUUUCUAGGUCAACUGACGGUACCAUUUGAAUAAGCACCGGCUAACUCCGUGCCAGCAGCCGCGGUAAUACGGAGGGUGCAAGCGUUAUCCGGAUUUACUGGGUUUAAAGGGUGCGUAGGUGGAUUGGUAAGUCAGUGGUGAAAUCUCCGGGCUUAACUCGGAAACUGCCAUUGAUACUAUCAGUCUUGAAUAUUGUGGAGGUCAGCGGAAUAUGUCAUGUAGCGGUGAAAUGCUUAGAUAUGACAUAGAACACCAAUUGCGAAGGC
Molecule: ribosomal RNA, 723 nt
Filed under: uncultured bacterium
Lineage: Bacteria
Description: bacterial SSU rRNA
Rfam family: Bacterial small subunit ribosomal RNA
Source: RNAcentral